GAAAAUUCUGGUGCGAAAGCCUGAAGAGCAGAUGCCCCCAGUCCAAGCUGACGGCUGCCUCUCAGGAAUAAAUGAUCUUUGCAGACUCUAAGCUGCGCACAAACGAAAGGCAUGGAUGGUGCUGUCCUUGAGUUCAGACCAGGAACUACUGGCUCCCCCUGCCUGAGUGUGUGUCCCAGCUCUGCCACCUCCUGUGCCACCUCAGGCGAAGUGCUUUUCAGCAUUUUAUCUUCCUCAUCUGAGAAAAUGCAGAUGAUGAUACUAGCACCUACCUCAGAGAGCUGUUGUGAAGAUUAAACGGGUUAAUUGACAGUGGCUGGCAUAGAGCGAGCACUCAGUAAACGUUAGCUUGUCGCCGCGGCAGGAGGCAUAGAGGCAGAAGAAGGAGAAGGAGGAGUGUGACGGAGGAAACGCAGCCAUCCUUUCCAGAAACCUCAGCCUGGUCCUCGGGGAAGCCCCUCACUCUUCUGUUGGAAGUUCUCCUCUCUAAUCUGUCCUCUGUUUGCCUUCAGUGGUCUGUGGCAUUAGCAUCCAUGUUUUUAAAUCCAUGAGCAAUUGCAGGGCCUUCCUGAGAGAAACGCUGAUCGGCUCCCCUGGGCCGUAGGAUGGUAUAACUGCUGCUCCUUUCUCCUCCUCAGGGAAGGACAUGACGUCCAAGUCUGUCAGCUGAAAGGGGAAAACCUGGCCUCUGGAGGUCCCUUGAUCUUGUUUUCAUUGCGUUCUGUUUCAUCCAGAUCUACACCUCAGAGACUUUUCAAUAGGAAAUAGGAAAAAGAGAGAGAAAGAGAGAAAACAGACCCCGCUUUUUGAUUGGAUCUUGAAAUGGUUUCCUUAGAUGCUGCAGGCUACACAGUCCUGGUUCAACAGCCUAACCAAACACUAAAGGGCAAGAGUAGAAUAUAUCUUCCUCCCAAGAUACGAUUUUACAAGUGCUUUUCAAGCACACUCCUCAUUUAAUGUGUCAGUGUCAGCCUGCAGAAGCCUUAGAGGCCCAGGCCUCUGGGCAACACUGGCCUGCUGGGGCUUCCGGUGGGCAGUGUUGGGGCCCUCCCUCACCUCAGGCCGUUGGGCCGUUGCCUCCGCAGUGAGAUUCGUGUGACCCAAAGCCCUCGGCAAAUGGGAGUGACCACGGAGAGCUGAGGGGAAAAGAGUGUCUUCCUGCCUUUUGAGUUUCAAAAGCCUAGACCUUUAUGGAAAUAGAAAAGCCUUUGGCUUUAAAGGAUUUGGGAGGAAGCCUGGUAGGUAAGAGCACGACACCCCACUCUCCUCCAUACUAUACCCCCAACAAUAGAAGAAGACCCCUCUCGCCUGAGUGGAGGAGAGAAGAAGGGGUACAAGGGACGAUGUUUGUGGGUCCCAGGAAGAGAGCCUACUCUCCAGGUCAAGCCCUGGGAGGUCUGUAGGGCCAUACAAAGAGGGAACCUGUGCCCUAUUUCCCAGGGAAAUCACUAGAGAAGUGGCCGGACUCCAAAAAAUAGAUGGAUAAAGGGCCUUUCUAGAAAGAUGGGGCCUUAGAUGGCCUCCAAAAACUUCCACACAGCUCAGACUAGUUGAAAAUCCAAAACUGGUUCUUUUGAGCCUGAGACAUGGUGUAUCAGUAGAACUGAAACGGUACCAGAAGAUGGGACCCAGGGACAUCCCUGCAGUCCCCUGUGUGCUCCAACAACUGUGGGCCCAACGCAACAAUGGACAUCACAGUGGACACUAUGCAGACAGGUGACACAGAGGACCCGUUAGCCCCCCUGACCCUUUUUAAAGCCCCUGGGACUUGACCAAGACCCUGAGCCAAAAGCAUGAGAAUCCCUGAUGUGACUGGGAUUAUUUUCCCAGCGCCCUAUCGGAUUGACAGCUUCGAAGAUAAAUCGAAAUUGAAAGAUGUAUUUCUGAGAUGUGUGGCCAUUUAGAUACACAUGCACCCUAAAAGGCUACAAAAUAGUGUGCAAACCUUUGAGCCCGGUUAAUCACUGCUGAAGACAUCUCUUCAGAUGAAAGGUUUGUAAGCCUACAGAAAAUAAGUAAAAUUUGUUGUGGGUUGAUUAUUCUGAGGGCUUGUUCCACAUUUGGUGUGGCACUGCCCAGAUGAUGGUAGGAGCGUGGGGAGUAGCCACAGCUACCGCCAAGCUGAGACAGCUCACAAGGCCCACUGCUUCCCAGGGUGGUGGAGGAAGUUGACUAACAUUCUCAGAUCUUCAAAGAGAUUUUGGAAUUCUGAGAGGAAGAGUAACCUAGAGGGCAUCCAAGGUCUGAAAGAAGGAGUUACAGAGGACAAUGUCACAAAUGGAAACAAAAUGGGUUAAUCAACUCUCCUCUGAGCAAUCCUCCUCAGAGGGUGUGUGUGCAGAAGUGUCUCCAAGAUUUCCGUCCUCCCUCCUGGUCUCCUCCAGCCCCACUCAGGUUUGGGACUAAAGACCCCUAAGCUGUCAGCUCAGCUCCAUGCCAUUCCUGAUCUCUUCACCCCGCUAAGCAUGGUAUCGGAUAGGUCUCCAGAGCAUUCUGGGAUACCCAUUGGUCCACAGAAUCUUUCUUGAAUCCCAGCAUUGUGACUAGUCUGAGUCUUAUUUUCCUUAUUGGGGUACAAUUUGCCACACUAGGAUGGAAACUCUUAUCAACCAAACUCAUACUCACUUUGUCCCAAGACCUCAUCUAUCCGUAGCCUCCCCCUUUUUAUUCUCAAGACCCUCAAGUAGCAUUGAACCCAGCAUGCCUUUCCUAUGUAGCAUCUAACGGUUUAUCCAUUCCACAAAUAUUUUCAUGCCAGGUACUGGGACAUAAGGAGUUAAAACACAACCCUUGCCUCAUGGGACUUGCAGCCUCAUGAUGUAGACAGACGAAAGAAUAGACAUAAUGAUGCUGUCAUCAAUGCUCCCAGGUAGUGGAAAAGGUGCAUAACCAACACUGGAAGUCAAGAAAGGUUUCCUGAGGGACGUCUAAGUUGAAUAGUGAAGAAUGAGUAAGGUGGAAGGGGGAGAGGAAGCAGGGAGUGGAAUUCCAAAAGGAAUAGGCACCAGAUAGAGGAAGUCAGUGUGAUCCAUCAGAAGUGCCUGAGUUCUAGGUCGUGUGAGGUAUUACAGGGUCAGAGCAGUGAGCAGGGGCGACCGUAAAAGGCUGGGUCUGUCAGGAGAAGGAGCUUGGACUUUAUCCAGUAGGCAAUGAGGAACUGUGGAAAGGAUUUAUCGGUGGAAUAACAGGAUAAGUUUUGUUUCAAAAGAUCUUUGGAAGGCCCUGAUAUGCUUUCGUCCAGAGGCACGGGCAGGGAAGAGCAUGCUGCAGAGGAGGACUGUGAAAUCAUCUCUGGGAUGUCACAGCAUUGACGCUAUUUAAAAAAGAAAUUUACCUGCACAUUGAGAAGGGAUUAGCUUUUGGAUCCUACACUUGAAAUUAAAAGAACUACUUUUCAUUCUUCUAGUCCAAAAAGGCAUGAGUUCUGGUUUAUUUCUGCUAGUCACUUCAUGCUCACUGUCCUUCAUUUUGAAACAUUUAUGUGCAUCACUCGAGAAACCCUCUGUACGUCCUCAUUACUGAAUCUAACAUUCAUUAAUUUCUUACUUUGAAAUUUUCAAGUUUUUGACUCGGACUCAGGCCUCAGAUGGAUUAGAAUAAAUCCAUCUUACACUGCAGUAGGAGCAGUGCCCAGGAACAGAAGACUAUUCAUAAAUCUCAAUUCAACUUGAAUUCCAGCUGUGUGCAUUGGUGCAUGUAUGUGGUGGUCUGAAAAAUGUCCCCUCAAAAGGACCACAAGAUGGUAGGGCUGGAUGCUGAACCUAUGAUGGACGGUAUCAUGCUGGAGACACUAGAGGUGCCAGCAUGUAAGGGGCCACUGUCAAAGAACAUAUUCUUGUCAGAGCAGCAGAGGGGGCCUGUCCUCUGAAUGUUCAAGUACGCACUUGGUUAGUCUCCCAAACAAACCUAUUGUGUGAAGUGGAAGAAAUGAUUGCUUCAGCUGGAAGAGAUGAUACAGAAAGCUCCAAGCUCGAGCUAAAGUGGUUUUUGCAAAGAAACGGCAUGUCCAUAUUCUGCUUUCAUACCAGAAGAUAUUAAUGACCAUUUUUUUUUAAAGAAUGAUGUUUCAAACUUCUAUUGUUUUUAAGAACAAAGCUUUAACCCUUACAAAUGUUACAGAAUAAGAAACAAAAAUUCUCAAUUUGAUAAAAAUAAUAAAAUGCAGCAAAAUAUUCCAGCUAUCUGUGAUAUGUUCGGUGUACCCAAAUCACUGAUUUCUGACAUUCCUCUCAUGCUAAAACAUGUGGAAUCAAAGGUAAAGAGUUAUCUCUCAAAAGUCCAAGAACGCUAUUUGGAAAAACAAUUGCAAAAAAAAUUAUUCAAAUCCAAGACAGGUGAAACAAGUGGAGGAAAUCAAUGAUUCUCUUUGUCUAUGAAAAUGAACACUAUAUUCAGAUAUUAACGAAACAAUUAGAUGUGACUGUACUGUCUUUUGGACCAGGGCAAGGUAAAAACAAAUGGCGUGGAAAGAAUUUCCCAGCCUAAGCUUUGCUAAGUAAGACACCUAUUCUGCUGGCCCCUCUAUGUGACAAUCACUAGUUGAUGUAGUGACACAAGCCAGAAUUUCC
This 4568-nucleotide long non-coding RNA is filed under the name Equus caballus (horse). RNAcentral's name for it is "lncRNA (ENSECAG00000058063.1)". Lineage: Eukaryota; Metazoa; Chordata; Mammalia; Perissodactyla; Equidae. The record is from RNAcentral.